CUCACACACACUCCCAGCCCAUCUCCAGCAACACAUAGCCCCCUGCCUCUCCAGAGGGCCCCCCAAAUUCCGGUUUUCUCUCACCCUAGAGACUGCUACAAGGAGAAAGGGGCAAAGGAGGCUGCAGGGAGCCAUUAAAAGAUAAGGACUCCCUCCUCCCUUAGAGCCCCUGGAGACAGGUCGGAAGAAGCCAGCCUGAGAAACAACGAGACAGAACCCCAAAAGGGGCAGCUGUCUUGCAACUACACCCACUUCAACUCAAGAUGGGAAAGGGGCAACAGGACACUGAGCCAUGCAGCAGGGCGGAGUCUGUGGAGUUGAAAUCAGGACACGCCGAGAGGAAGAGUUAUAUAACCCUCCUGAGAAGCAGAGAAGGACGAGUGGAGCCGGGGACAGACAGUCCGAAAGGAGCCAAGGGAGGUGCAAAAAUCACUAGAGAGAGCUCAAAGGAAACGUGAGGGAAAGGGUUGGUAUGCAUAUCAAAAAGCAGGAAUUCACAAAAAAAAAUGAGCAUGACGAACCCCUGGCCAAGUCACCUGGACUUGUAAGAGGCUUCUUACACUGUCCUGCCGGGUCACUACACUAACCGCAGCUAGGCCUGGGCGGGUGAAAUGGAAAUGGGUACAUGUACCCACUCCUUUUUUGUGGAAACAACCUAAGCUAGAGCUCGGGAAAGCCGCGACUGAGCCUAGGGGGCCGGAAACCACAGCUCCGCCCUGCCCACCUGGGAACUUUGGGGCGCCAGCUGGGGAGGGCGAUUGGGAACACAGGUAGCCAUCCUUCCCACCAGAGACUGACAUAAACAGUCGACACCCGGCUAAAGAGCGCAAAUCCAC
Arvicola amphibius (Eurasian water vole) is the source of this 836-nucleotide long non-coding RNA. RefSeq lists it as uncharacterized. The transcript is spliced from 3 exons. The record is from RefSeq and is a predicted model, not a curated record. Lineage: Eukaryota; Metazoa; Chordata; Mammalia; Rodentia; Cricetidae.